UUUUCAGGCUAGUCGAUUACCCCCACUGGAAAAUAAAAGUUUUAUAGAUAUUUGAGCAUAUUAAAGAUAUUCUAAAGAACUACUGCUAACGUUGCAUCAUAAACAAACUAAUACGAGCUAAUACUAAUGACUAUUAGUUUAUUCACUAACUAAUACAAAUAAGUAGAACAAAAUCAAAUAACUCCAUCUUCUUUCAUCACGGACCNNN
This 208-nucleotide long non-coding RNA is filed under the name Nicotiana benthamiana. RNAcentral describes it as "long non-coding RNA (NBEN_LNC017131)". Lineage: Eukaryota; Viridiplantae; Streptophyta; Magnoliopsida; Solanales; Solanaceae. The record is from RNAcentral.